Paramuricea clavata is the source of this 249-nucleotide non-coding RNA. The record is from the annotation of a GenBank genome assembly. NCBI's taxonomy places the organism in Eukaryota, Metazoa, Cnidaria, Anthozoa, Malacalcyonacea, Plexauridae.
GUAAAGUGUAGAUGAACUUGUAUUGUGCAUAAAGCGAUUUACGCAUUAGAAUCUCAUCAACACAAAAGGAUCGAGGAUAUAUUCCUUCUACAUGCACGGUAAGUUAUAAGUGUAGUUUCAACUAGUGUACUAGGAUAUCAUUCAAAUAUUGAAGUUCAGAUCAAUUUAACUCUUUCUCGGCGUUCUAUCACGGCAGUUCUCGUUCAUAUAUCUUCGGUUUGGUGUAUAUUAUACAGACAAAAAUACUAC